GAUGAACGCUGGCGGCGUGCCUAAUACAUGCAAGUCGAGCGAACAGAUAAGGAGCUUGCUCCUUUGACGUUAGCGGCGGACGGGUGAGUAACACGUGGGUAACCUACCUAUAAGACUGGAAUAACUCCGGGAAACCGGGGCUAAUGCCGGAUAACAUUUAGAACCGCAUGGUUCUAAAGUGAAAGAUGGUUUUGCUAUCACUUAUAGAUGGACCCGCGCCGUAUUAGCUAGUUGGUAAGGUAACGGCUUACCAAGGCAACGAUACGUAGCCGACCUGAGAGGGUGAUCGGCCACACUGGAACUGAGACACGGUCCAGACUCCUACGGGAGGCAGCAGUAGGGAAUCUUCCGCAAUGGGCGAAAGCCUGACGGAGCAACGCCGCGUGAGUGAUGAAGGUCUUCUGAUCGUAAAACUCUGUUAUUAGGGAAGAACAAAUGUGUAAGUAACUGUGCACGUCUUGACGGUACCUAAUCAGAAAGCCACGGCUAACUACGUG
Molecule: ribosomal RNA, 497 nt
Filed under: uncultured bacterium
Lineage: Bacteria
Description: partial 16S ribosomal RNA
Rfam family: Bacterial small subunit ribosomal RNA
Source: RNAcentral